AGUUGUGCUUCCUGAUGUCUUACUGAGAUGGCCUUUUUGGUCAUUUUGGGCCACUUUCCCAAGGAUACUGCAUGUUGCCUGACCUGUAUUCCUGAGGAAAUAAGGAGGACUUAGAUUGAUCUGUUUUGGACAGCGUACUUUCUCUAAGAAUGGCGAAAGGAAAAACAUCAGACUAGGAUGCUCUCCAGAAAUAAUAACUGAGAAUCUCAUCCUGUUGUGUAAACUCUCCUUGUACUUUGCUCUCUUUCUUUAGCUUGCCCAUGGUGAUGUGAAGAUGAGAAGAAAUAGCAAGGCCCAACCAGUUCUUCAUCUGGAGACAGUUCAACGUUCUGCAAACCAGAUCUUCAGGAAUUUUACUGGGAUAAUUAUCCAAAUAAAUUGCAAGCAUUCUAUCCAAAUGGAGCUCUUUCUGAGAUGAAGAGAAUUCUCAAUGUCAAGAUUUGAACAAGAAGAGAAUGGAAUACACAAUAUGGACAUCCAUAAAAAUUCAUCAGAGAGCAUUUUACUACUGAGCUGCAAAGGGAAAAACUUAAAAUGGAUAUGAAAAGUGAAGAAAGUGAUCAUAGGAGAAAACCAUUUCAGAUGACAAGAGCACCUCAAAGGCAGCAGCCUCAAGGAGCAGCCAUGGCCCCAGACUUGUCGCACGGAUGCAGAAAACUUAAUGGAGGAGGCUGAGGAACUCUUCCAGACUCUGGGAAAUAUGUCUCCAAGAAAGCAGACAAUACCCCUGCCCUCUGUGGAAGACUGACAAAUAUACAAGUGCAUAUGUAUAUAUAGACUGUCAGAUGAUGUAAGUAUGAUGAAGAAAAUGAAAGCCAUGUAAUGGGUGAUGGAGCGGGGCAUAGAAAGGUGCCAUUUGCUAUUUUAUAGAAGUAGAUCAGGGAAGACCAUGUCAUGGUAGAUAUCUGAGCAGAGACCAUUCCAGGUGUGGGAGCAUGUCAGAGAGGUAUCCAGGGGCAACAGUUCCAGGCAGAGAAAGCAUGAAGAGCAAGGUGCCCAAGGCCAGAGCAUGUGUGCUUGGCAUUUUCCAGGAGCAGCAAGGAAUUUAGUGUGGCUGAAGGAGAAUGAGCAAGGGAGAAAGCAGCAGGAGAGUGCACAUGAAGCCCUGUGUGCCAUUACGAAGACUCUGCUUUUUUUUUUUUUUUGAGUCGGAGUCUUGCUCUUCCGCCCAGGCCGGAGUGCAGUGGCGCGAUCUCGGCUCACUGCAAGCUCCGCCUCCCGGGUUCACGCCAUUCUCCUGCCUCAGCCUCCCGAGUAGCUGGGACUACAGGCGCCUGCCACCUCGCCUGGCUAAUUUUUUGCAUUUUUUUUAGUAGAGACGGGGUUUCACAGUGUUAGCCAGGAUGGUCUCGAUCUCCUGACCUCGUGAUCCGCCUGCCUCGGCCUCCCAAAGUGCUCACCCUCCCUACCUUUAGCGUCUGCCUCACCUCUUGUCUCUGUGUUCCUCUAUACCUGUGCUGUCUUGUAUGGUCACCACUAGCCACAUGUGUCUACUGAGAACUUGGAAUGGGGCUAGCCCAAAUGGACAAUAUGAGAAAAAUGUAAAAUAUCUCAAUACUUUUCGUAUUGUUUCAUACGUUGAAAUACAAAUAGUUUGAAUAUAUUUGAUUAAGAAAAAUGAAUUCCAUAUUUCUUUUCUUGUAAUUAACAUUUUUGUUUUGAGAUAAUUCUAGAUUUCCAUGCAGUUGUAAGACAUAACACAGAGAAAUCCUGUGUACCCUUUAUCCAGUUUUCCCAAUAGCAAUAUCCUGCAAAUCUUAGUCACAAUAUUGCUACUAGAAUAUUGACAAUGAUACUACCUUAUUCAUAUUUUCCUAAUUUUAAUUGUACUCCUUUGUGUGUUUGUGAGUGUGUGUAGGUGUUUAGUUCUGUGCAACUUUAUCACAUGUGUAGGUUGUAUCUACCACCACAUCAAAAUACAGAACUGUUCCUUCAUCACAGAUUCCUUAUAGUUCCCUUUUAUAGCCACUCUGCCCUCCUUCCUGUGCCCUGUCCCUGCCCAGCCCUGACCCCUAGCAACUACUGGUCUUUUCUCCAUUUCUAAAUUUUUGUCCUUUAAAGAAUUUUGUGUAAAUGAAAUCAUACAGUAUGUAAACUUUUGGGAUUGCCUUUUUUUUCCUUAGCAUAAUUCUCUGAAGAUUAAUCCAAGUCAUUUUAACAGUUCAUUCUUCUUUUUUUGCUGAGUAAUAUCCCCUGGUAGGGAUGUACCACAAAUUUUAUUUAACUACUUGCCCAUUGAAGUACCAAGUUGGUUCCUGUUUUUGCUAUAAUCAUUUCUGUACAGGUUUUUGUAUAAUCAUGAAUUAUAUUUGUCUAGUUUAAAGGCUCAAGAGUCCAAUUGCUAAAUCACAUGGUAACGGCAUGUUUAUUUUAUAAGAUUGCCUGAUUGUUUUCCAUGGUGUCUGUACCCAUCUGUUGCAUUUUGCUCUUUUUCACUGUGGCUAUUAGACAAUUUAAAAUUACAUACAUAAUUUUUCACAUUUGUAAUAAUUUUUCACAUUUCAAAAGAACAGCACCCAGACAGUUCUUGUUCUCAAGAACAGGACUUGAGACAGUCCUGUUCUCCAGUACCAAGCUCUUACCACCUCAGGCUUUCCCAGGUGCCUCGAUUUCUAGCUGGAGUGUGUUCUCAUUAUUCCCGGACAGAUGCACAGACUUCUACAGCACAGUGAGUGGUUAAAAAAAGAAUCUAAAACUAAGCAACCUGGGUUUGGAUGCUGGGUCUGUCCCUUACUGGCUCUGUGAUUUGUUAAGGUAUUUAAUGCCUUUGUUCCUCAGUUUUCUUAUCUGUGAACAGGGUGACUGUAGCAGUACUGAUGUCAUUAGGUUGGUUUGAGGGUUGAGUGAGUUAGUACAUGUAAAAUUGGGUCCCAUUGAAACCCUUCUAACCCUUUACCCAAGAGUAGGUUUAAAUCCUCAUAUAGACUUCCAUUGCAGUCAAUGUCCUUGUUAAAAUUGUAAUUACAUGAUUGUAUUAGUCUGUUUUCAUGCUGCUGAUAAAGACAUACCCAAUACUGGGCAAUUUACAGAAGAAAGAGGUUUAAUGGAUUUACAGUUCCACAUGGCUGGGGAGGCCUCACAAUCAUGGUGGAGGGCAAAAAGGAGCAAGUCACGUCUUACAUGGAUGGCAACAGGCAAAGAGAGAGCUUGUCCAGGGAAACUCCUGUUUUUAAAACCAUCAGAUCUCGUGAGACUCAUUCACCAUCAUGAGAACAAUGCAGGAAAGACCUGCCCCCAUAAUUCAAUCACCUCCCACCAGGUUCCUCCCACAACACGUGGGAAUUGUGGGAGCUGCAAUUCAAGAUGAGAUUUGGGUGGGGACAUGGCCAAACCAUAUCAAUGAUUGUUUCAUAUUUUUCUCCACUACUGGAAUCUAAAUACCUAUGAGGCCAGUGACCUCAUCUAUCUGAUUUAGUGCUGUAUCCUCAUUGCUAGCACAGAACUAGUUAAGAGAAGGCACUUAUCACUUAAGAAUGAAUGAAUGAAUGAAUGAAUUUCCUUCAAUGUAAACAUUUACUCACUAUUUACUUAAAGUACUAUUUUGUUUAAUUUAUCCUUUCUUAAUGUUUAAAAGAUCAUGUAUUAUUCAUGUUUCUCUGAUUCGGAAGACUAGGCCUCUAAGUUAUCUGAACAGUUUUUACAUGAAGAUCCCAUGUAUUCUGAAAUAAAAAUUGUUCCAGUGUAAUGACAAAAAUCAAAUGAAAAAAUAAUUAGACAUAUCUGUAUGAUACUAUUUGAUUGUUAGUUUUGUUUAAUGUGUGUGGCUUAAAUAAUCAUUUUAUUGUUAUACUAGGAUAGGUUGACAGAAUCCAUGUUACUUAACUGCUUCCUUUGGCUUUAUGGGCCUUUUGAAGUCUUAGCCCCCAAAGCAUCAGUAGGUGAUAUUGACAUUGAAGUACUUCUUUAUCUCUCUGCAGAUAAUUUUAUCUCAUUAUUUCAAUUAUUUAUGGCUUCAAUUAGGUAACCUCCAUGACAUUCUUAGGAAAUUCAGAAAAAAACAUGGCACAACUUCGAUGAUUUUCAUUUAGCCACUCUCUAAGACCCAAACUGUGUACCAACCAUCAUGAUCAACAGCAUAUGCUUUUACACACACACACACACACACACACACGUGCACACACACACACACAUUUUGUUAGUUAUCUACCUUUACUUCCUCAUACUACUGAGGGCAGUUUCUGUAGUAGAAAGAACACUGACUUAUGCUUAUUCUGAGCUAGGGUGAGUUAGGCUCUUGCUCUACCAUUUUUAUUAACUCUGAAGUCUUGAAAAGACCAAUUAGCAUGUUUCAGCCUUCAUUUGCUACAUACUGGGAAUCAUACCUGGAGGAAUCACAUUGAUGACAAAACACAAGAGUCCAUGUAUAGAACCGUAAUAAUAAAUAGCUCCAUAUUUGGAUAGUACUAGCCCACGUGCUGAAUCUCAGGGACAUACUUACAGAUGUACGUUUCCUCCAAUUUCCCCUAUAUGCCCUCAAAGGCAGGUAUCAUUGGGCCAAUGUUAUACAUUAAAUAUGCUGAGUAUCAGAAGUGAAAUUUAACUUCACACAGUUAUGUGACAAGACUGUGCUAUAAAACCAUGACUAAAUCCAAACUGAUCCAUAGGAGGGUAAAAUGUCCGUUUUCUUCAUUAAAACUUCUCAGCUCAAAUUUAUACUAAAGCAUAUCCAGGAAUUAAAAAAAAGGUUUUGAUGAUAUUUGCUUUCUAGUUUAAUAAGUUUUAAUACUGAAUAGGUUAAAUUAAUACAAAAUAACAUAAAAUGCUAAUAUUUAUUGAGUAUUUACUUUGUACCCACUACGAUCUUAAGUAAUUUACUGGGAUUAUUUUAUUUUAGUUUAACAAUGCAGGUAGCUACUAUAAUCGUCCCUAUUUUACACUUGAGGAAACAGGCUAAGAGAGAUUAAAUUAGUGGCCCAAGGUCAGAAAGCUCGUAAUUCUUGAAGCCAGGGUAUGAUUCUGUGUAACGUGAGGGUUCAAGCCUUUACCAGUGAUGCAUGUUGCCUCUUAUUUCAUUAAUUUAAAUUGGUCAUUUGGGUUAAUCACAUAGAAGGUGACGUUCCAUUUUGUUUUUGUAUGACUUGCAUUCUUCAACAUUUUUCAUCCACAGUGCGAUAAAAUAAUAUCAUGUUCAUUCUCUUCUAUACCUUUACAUUUGUGUUUCCCUAUGGCCUUUAUAAAUAAAACAAACAAUUUCAAUAGCAAAUCCUUGCGUGAAGUGAGUUAGUGCAUCUGGCUCCUCCCAUUUUCCUGUUGCAACCCAAGGACUUUGAGGGUCAUCAUCAUAUCUACCUAUAGGCCAGCAAUAAUUUUCAUGAUUGGGUAACUCUAGUACUAUGGAUAUGAAAAUGUAAUACUACAUUUCUUAAAAAAUUACUUCUAUUUUAGUAGAUCUCUAUAUAACUACCUUCUGGAAUAACAAUAUUAUGUGGAUUAUUUUUUCUAAUUAAAAUAUUAAAUCUUUAUUUAAAGACUGCUGUUCAUUUGGCUAUUUAUUUACACAUUACAUAUGAGUCUCUGUUUGGAAUUUGUUAGUUUCUAUACAUCUGCUCCAUGAGCUAUUUGUGUGUGAAAGUUGCUGCUUUAUAAGAACAUUUGCCUUUACGUGUUGCUAUUUUAUUAUUGCUAUAUUUAAUUGGAAUGCCUCUAUUGUGUAACCAGAAAGAGUUUUCCAAACUUGGGAAUGUUUGCAUCACAUAGUAUAGAGAUGUUUAUUUAUUUAUUUAAUUUCAUUUCCCUAAGAUAUCAACUUUGAUUAAUAAUUAUAUACAGGCUUUGUUCUUCUUAUCUGGGUGUCAACAGUAAUUGGAAUCCAUAUCCAUAUCCUACCUUGCAAUCAUGCUGCAAAAGGCCAAUAAAUUCCCGCUGAGUGUGUUACUUGUUAAAUUUAGUGCAUUACAUUCAGGGUAAUGAAUAAAAGCAGUGGACCGUUACCGUCUGGCUGGCUGAGGAAGGUUAGAACAGCCAGACUCCCCUGAGGCCUUGAGCCAGCUUAAAAACGGUGACAGGCAGAAUCAAGGGAGUCCCCAAGCAUCACAGUUCAGUUUGUCUCCCUUAAUUUCCUCUUCUGUAGAGACUCAGGCUGUAGGGAGGUGAGGUAAUCUUAUCCAUUAAUUCACCACACUUUCAUAAAAUGCUGCGUGCUCUGGUUUCAUUAACAAGCAAAUACAGUUUAGAUAAAUAGUUAUGUAUUUACAUUUGAGUAGGGAAGUGAGAAUGCUACUGAAUGUAAACAAGUGGCUACAGCUUCAUGCAGUUCACUUUGCAUAUCCACAUAUGUCUAUUGUGUAUUCAUUUGUCUGUAUUAAAAAUGCACAUAGAUAUUUUUGUGAGUGAAUAAUCAAUAAAGCAAGCCCCAUAGGUAUAUAUGUCUACCUACCUCCAUCUCAUAUUUAUUAAACAC
This 6400-nucleotide long non-coding RNA is filed under the name Homo sapiens (human). Its description in RNAcentral is "non-protein coding MIR99AHG:54". The record is from RNAcentral. Lineage: Eukaryota; Metazoa; Chordata; Mammalia; Primates; Hominidae.